Molecule: long non-coding RNA, 1116 nt
Organism: Bombus pascuorum
Lineage: Eukaryota; Metazoa; Arthropoda; Insecta; Hymenoptera; Apidae
Exons: 2
Source: RefSeq, a predicted model, not a curated record
UUAGAUAAAUGUAUAAUUUGAUAGAAAUUUGGAUACAGCUUUGAGUAAUUCAGAUUAUCUAAAUAUUAAGACCAAAAUUAUUAUUCACGGGUAUUUCGUUGCUGCGAACUACUUGUUGAAACUAUAACUGAUCUCAUUUUGUAAACGAUGGAUGUUCAGUUUUAAUUUUCCUUUCGUUGUUAGUAGAAUUAAAUUAUGCUGUAAAUAAUAAUCCAUCCGCAAUAUUUAAAAGAAAUUAUUUAGUCAGAAAAAAGUUACUGUGAGAUAAAUCAAAAUGUAAUCAUCUUGUGUAGAAAUAUUUUUUUCUGAAUGUUAAAUUCGUUGUAAAACAACAUUUGAAAUUAACGUUUACCAUAUUUACGUAAUUCUCGAUUUGUUGUCGUGUAACAGAAUCUUAGUAGUCAGGAUAAAUUUAGAUCAAGUCAAAUUAUAUCAGCCUUCUGUUACUUCUGAGCUGAUGAACUGUGAUAAAAGAAUAUCUUUCUAAGAAAUAUAUCUCUUUAUCUUUAUUUAAUAUUUAGUAUAUCUAAAAGUAUAGAUAAAAUAAGUUAUAAAGAAUGAGAUUAGAGAUAAAGAUGUAAAGACAUUAAUUUUAAUUUUUAUAUAUUUGUCAUAAAUAUUUAACAUCUUUUUAAUUCGACGUUUACAAUUUACGAAAUUUAAUAACAUAUUAUUUGUUAUAGGAGAAAUAUAUUUUCUUACCAUUCAACACUUAUUUCUUAAAUAUAAUAAAUUAUUAUAUUUCUUGGUGCCUGUUUAAAAAUAAUCCAUGCCGAAUAAACUGGUGAAUACCGGUAUAAAAAUAAAUAUUAAUUUAGCAAAAUGAAUUCUUAACAUUGUCGGUGUAUUUUUUAAUUUUUCGAGGUUUCGUUAUUAUUGAAAGUUCAAGUUCAUCAAAAGUAUCAAUCCUGCUAUUGCUCAUUCAUUUAUGAAACUACAUCUUUUAUCUCUUUUUUUCAUUUCUUUAGAUGUUGUCACUUUAUUGAUGUAAUUUGCAUCGGGUCUGUGAAAGCCUUUACAUAAAUUCUAUGCAUAUUGAGAAAUAUAUAGUCGAAGCAUUAUUGAUUACGACUCAUUUAUUCUAUCUUGAAGUGUCUUAUUUAAUAAGGAAAGAAC